RNAcentral lists this long non-coding RNA (2213 nucleotides) under Salmo salar (Atlantic salmon). Its description in RNAcentral is "lncRNA (ENSSSAG00000081988.1, ENSSSAG00000119154.1)". The record is from RNAcentral. Lineage: Eukaryota; Metazoa; Chordata; Actinopteri; Salmoniformes; Salmonidae.
GCUUUGACCAGUAUGGCACCCUAUUCCCUAUAAAGUACACUAGCUUUGGCCAGUAUGGCACCCUAUUCCCUAUAAAGCACACUAGCUUUGACCAGUAUGGCACUAUAUAAGGAAAAAGUUGCUAUUUUUGGAUGUAUUCAAUGUUUUCACCAGUAAUGCAACUCAGUAGAAAUCACAAUCACACAGGAAUUAGACACUAGUAUAAUUUGGGAUCCCAAGUGGCGCAGUGAUCUAAGGCACUGCAUCUCAGUGCUAGAGGCGUCACUACAGACACCAUGGUUCGAAUCCAGGCUGUAUCACAACCGGCUGUGAUUGGGAGUCCCAUAGGGCGGCGUACAAUUUGCCCAGCGUGGUCCGGGUUUGGCCGGUGUAGGCCGUCAUUUGUAAAUAAGAAUUUGUUCUCACAUGGACUUGCCCAGUUAAAUAAAUAAAGGUUCAAUAACAAUAAAUAAAACAGUAACCUGAAAACAACCUGAACAUGACGUCUGUGUCUGAAAUGGCACCCUCUACAGUGCACUAGCUUUGACCAGCUACCAUAGGGGUUUAUUCUGAACUAGUGCACUACAUAGGGAGUAGGGUGCCAUACUGGUCAGAACUACUGCACUACAUAGGGAUUAAGGCUCCAAUACUGGUCAAAACUAGUGCACUACAUAGGGAUUAAGGGUUCAAUACUGGUCAAAACUAGUGCACUACAUAGGGAUUAAGGCUCCAAUACUGGUCAAAACUACUGCACUACAUAGGGAUUAAGGGUUUAAUACUGGUCAAAACUAGUGCACUACAUAGGGAUUAGGGUGCCAUACUGGUCAGAACUACUGCACUACAUAGGGAUUAAGGCUCCAAUACUGGUCAAAACUAGUGAACUACAUAGGGAUUAAGGGUCCAAUACUGGUCAAAACUAGUGCACUACAUAGGGAUUAAUUAAGGGUGCCAUACUGGUCAAAACUAGUGCACUACAUAGGGAUUAAGGGUCCAAUACUGGUCAAAACUAGUGCACUACAUAGGGAUUAAGGGUUCAAUACUGGUCAAAACUACUGCACUACAUAGGGAUUAAGGCUCCAAUACUGGUCAAAACUAGUGAACUACAUAGGGAUUAAGGGUUCAAUACUGGUCAAAACUAGUGCACUACAUAGGGAUUAGGGUGCCAUACUGGUCAAAACUAGUGCACUACAUAGGGAUUAAGGCUCCAAUACUGGUCAGAACUAGUGCACUACAUAGGGAUUAAGGCUCCAAUACUGGUCAAAACUAGUGCACUACAUAGGGAUUAGGGUGCCAUACUGGUCAGAACUACUGCACUACAUAGGGAUUAAGGCUCCAAUACUGGUCAAAACUAGUGCACUACAUAGGGAUUAGGGGUCCAAUACUGGUCAAAACUAGUGCACUACAUAGGGAUUAAGGGUCCAAUACUGGUCAAAACUAGUGCACUACAUAGGGAUUAAUUAAGGGUGCCAUUCUGGUCAAAACUAGUGCACUACAUAGGGAUUAGGGGUGCCGUACUGGUCAAAACUAGUGCACUACAUAGGGAUUAGGGUGCCAUUUUGAAUACAACCAAUGUAACAACACACCAUGUGUUUAUUAGUAGUCAUCGCUGUAGGAACCUCUGUUCUCGUUAUUCCUCCAAGAGGAACUGUUCGUUUAAGAUGACACGCUCUAGUCUGAUCCCAGGUCUGUUUCUGAUCUCUUGACAACUACAUUGGUGUCCUUGUUAUGACAAUUCCAUAGGCUGACUGGCACCCAGGCUGGCACCCAGGCUAAACUUACUGGCACCCAGGCUAAACUGACUGGCACCCAGGCUAAACAGACUGACACCCAGGCUAAACUGACUGGCACCCAGGCUAAACUGACUGGCACCCAGGCUAAACAGACUGGCACCCAGGCUAAACUGACUGGCACCCAGGCUAAACAGACUGGCACCCAGGCUAAACUGACUGGCACCCAGGCUAAACUGACUGGCACCCAGGCUAAACAGACUGGCACCCAGGCUAAACACACCUUCCACUCUCUCCUUCUACAACAUAUCUUUCUCCAUCCACCUCGUGGAAGGUGAUACAAUGACGAUGACUAACUUGUGUGGUGAAUUAUGAAGUGUAUGAAAUUACAAUUGUCUGCACACAUGACAUGUACAUUACUAUGAAAAAUAAAACAUCAGCUAAAUGUCAUAUAUUAUUGUCUUAGUCAUUGUUUACAAUGAGAUGUUGUAUUUCCUGUUUCCUUCA